RNAcentral lists this unclassified non-coding RNA (421 nucleotides) under Hevea brasiliensis (rubber tree). The record is from RNAcentral. Lineage: Eukaryota; Viridiplantae; Streptophyta; Magnoliopsida; Malpighiales; Euphorbiaceae.
AUCCAGAAGGGUCUCACAAUUGCGCUUUUUCUGCCUUUCGAUGAUCUACUUGGAAUCCCUAAUGUCCCAUUUACCAUUCAGGCCAAUCCCAUCGCUCUUCUCGAAUCUUUUUGUCCUUCUCAUAGAUUUCUGUCUCCUUUUACCUUAAUUCAAUCUCCCAUUUCUUUACCUAAUCAAUUGCAGCCUCAAGCCCUGUUAACCCUCGCUAUUUUGUUAAUAGAGAACCGACCUCCUGCAUCUGGGUCUUUCUCGUAUUCUUGAGGCUUGGUCUUUUGGGUACUUGAGAAUUCACUUGCAUUGGUAUAAGUUAGACUUUUUUUUUGAUUUUUGGGUUUGAUAAAUUCUGCUACUGGGUUUUGAUUUUGAAGUAUAAAUUGUUGCAUGUCCCUGAGGAACUGAUCUGUUUUUGAAGAUAACCGCU